RNAcentral lists this ribosomal RNA (867 nucleotides) under Yarrowia lipolytica. RNAcentral describes it as "eukaryotic LSU rRNA". The stretch from base 283 to 867 matches the Rfam family "Eukaryotic large subunit ribosomal RNA", at positions 1 to 667 of the family's 3401-position model. Lineage: Eukaryota; Fungi; Ascomycota; Dipodascomycetes; Dipodascales. The record is from RNAcentral.
AAGGAUCAUUAUUGAUUUUAUCUAUUUCUGUGGAUUUCUAUUCUAUUACAGCGUCAUUUUAUCUCAAUUAUAACUAUCAACAACGGAUCUCUUGGCUCUCACAUCGAUGAAGAACGCAGCGAACCGCGAUAUUUUUUGUGACUUGCAGAUGUGAAUCAUCAAUCUUUGAACGCACAUUGCGCGGUAUGGCAUUCCGUACCGCACGGAUGGAGGAGCGUGUUCCCUCUGGGAUCGCAUUGCUUUCUUGAAAUGGAUUUUUUAAACUCUCAAUUAUUACGUCAUUUCACCUCCUUCAUCCGAGAUUACCCGCUGAACUUAAGCAUAUCAAUAAGCGGAGGAAAAGAAACCAACAGGGAUUGCCUCAGUAACGGCGAGUGAAGCGGCAAAAGCUCAAAUUUGAAACCCUCGGGAUUGUAAUUUGAAGAUUUGGCAUUGGAGAAAGCUAACCCAAGUUGCUUGGAAUAGUACGUCAUAGAGGGUGACAACCCCGUCUGGCUAACCGUUCUCCAUGUAUUGCCUUAUCAAAGAGUCGAGUUGUUUGGGAAUGCAGCUCAAAGUGGGUGGUAAACUCCAUCUAAAGCUAAAUACUGGUGAGAGACCGAUAGCGAACAAGUACUGUGAAGGAAAGGUGAAAAGAACUUUGAAAAGAGAGUGAAAUAGUAUGUGAAAUUGUUGAUAGGGAAGGAAAUGAGUGGAGAGUGGCCGAGGUUUCAGCCGCCCCUCGUGGGCGGUGUACUGCCGACGCCGAGUCAUCGAUAGCGAGACGAGGGUUACAAAUGGGAGCGCCUUUCGGGCGUUCUCCCCUAACCCUCCACACUGCCACCGACGACAUAAUCCACCCAUUUCACCCGUCUUGAAACACGGACC